This 170-nucleotide ribosomal RNA is filed under the name Neenchelys mccoskeri. Its description in RNAcentral is "partial 12S rRNA". Lineage: Eukaryota; Metazoa; Chordata; Actinopteri; Anguilliformes; Ophichthidae. The record is from RNAcentral.
CACCGCGGUUAUACGGGGGGCCCAAACUGAUAUUCAACGGCGUAAAGCGUGAUUAAGGAAAAUUAAAAACUAAAGAAGAAGGUCCCCCAAGCUGUUAUACGCUAACGGGAUGACUGAACCCCCACAACGAAAGUGACUUUAAAACUCUUGAACCCACGAAUAUUAAGGAA